ACGCUGGCGGCGUGCCUAAUACAUGCAAGUAGAACGCUGAAGAGAGGAGCUUGCUCUUCUUGGAUGAGUUGCGAACGGGUGAGUAACGCGUAGGUAACCUGCCUUGUAGCGGGGGAUAACUAUUGGAAACGAUAGCUAAUACCGCAUAACAAUGGAUGACACAUGUCAUUUAUUUGAAAGGGGCAAUUGCUCCACUACAAGAUGGACCUGCGUUGUAUUAGCUAGUAGGUGAGGUAACGGCUCACCUAGGCGACGAUACAUAGCCGACCUGAGAGGGUGAUCGGCCACACUGGGACUGAGACACGGCCCAGACUCCUACGGGAGGCAGCAGUAGGGAAUCUUCGGCAAUGGGGGCAACCCUGACCGAGCAACGCCGCGUGAGUGAAGAAGGUUUUCGGAUCGUAAAGCUCUGUUGUAAGUCAAGAACGAGUGUGAGAGUGGAAAGUUCACACUGUGACGGUAGCUUACCAGAAAGGGACGGCUAACUACGUGCCAGCAGCCGCGGUAAUACGUAGGUCCCGAGCGUUGUCCGGAUUUAUUGGGCGUAAAGCGAGCGCAGGCGGUUUGAUAAGUCUGAAGUUAAAGGCUGUGGCUCAACCAUAGUUCGCUUUGGAAACUGUCAAACUUGAGUGCAGAAGGGGAGAGUGGAAUUCCAUGUGUAGCGGUGAAAUGCGUAGAUAUAUGGAGGAACACCGGUGGCGAAAGCGGCUCUCUGGUCUGUAACUGACGCUGAGGCUCGAAAGCGUGGGGAGCGAACAGGAUUAGAUACCCUGGUAGUCCACGCCGUAAACGAUGAGUGCUAGGUGUUGGAUCCUUUCCGGGAUUCAGUGCCACAGCUAACGCAUUAAGCACUCCGCCUGGGGAGUACGACCGCAAGGUUGAAACUCAAAGGGAAUUGACCGGGGGCCCGCA
Molecule: ribosomal RNA, 912 nt
Filed under: uncultured bacterium
Lineage: Bacteria
Description: bacterial SSU rRNA
Rfam family: Bacterial small subunit ribosomal RNA
Source: RNAcentral